Molecule: transfer RNA, 74 nt
Filed under: Zymomonas mobilis
Lineage: Bacteria; Pseudomonadati; Pseudomonadota; Alphaproteobacteria; Sphingomonadales; Zymomonadaceae
Also listed under: 19 other names
Description: tRNA-Gly
Rfam family: tRNA
About the family: Transfer RNA (tRNA) molecules are approximately 80 nucleotides in length. Their secondary structure includes four short double-helical elements and three loops (D, anti-codon, and T loops).
Source: RNAcentral
GCGGGCGUAGCAUAGUGGUAAUGCACUAGCCUUCCAAGCUAGCUAGGAGGGUUCGAUUCCCUUCGCCCGCUCCA